Molecule: ribosomal RNA, 1176 nt
Filed under: uncultured bacterium
Lineage: Bacteria
Description: bacterial SSU rRNA
Rfam family: Bacterial small subunit ribosomal RNA
Source: RNAcentral
AGAGUUUGAUCCUGGCUCAGGAUGAACGCUAGCUACAGGCUUAACACAUGCAAGUCGAGGGGCAGCAUUUUAGUUUGCUUGCAAACUAAAGAUGGCGACCGGCGCACGGGUGAGUAACACGUAUCCAACCUGCCGAUAACUCAGGGAUAGCCUUUCGAAAGAAAGAUUAAUACCUGAUGGCAUAGGAUUAUCGCAUGAUAAUCCUAUUAAAGAAUUUCGGUUAUCGAUGGGGAUGCGUUCCAUUAGGCAGUUGGUGAGGUAACGGCUCACCAAACCUUCGAUGGAUAGGGGUUCUGAGAGGAAGGUCCCCCACAUUGGAACUGAGACACGGUCCAAACUCCUACGGGAGGCAGCAGUGAGGAAUAUUGGUCAAUGGACGGGAGUCUGAACCAGCCAAGUAGCGUGAAGGAUGACUGCCCUAUGGGUUGUAAACUUCUUUUAUACGGGAAUAAAGUGAUCCACGUGUGGAUUUUUGUAUGUACCGUAUGAAUAAGGAUCGGCUAACUCCGUGCCAGCAGCCGCGGUAAUACGGAGGAUCCGAGCGUUAUCCGGAUUUAUUGGGUUUAAAGGGAGCGUAGGUGGAUUGUUAAGUCAGUUGUGAAAGUUUGCGGCUCAACCGUAAAAUUGCAGUUGAUACUGGCAGUCUUGAGUACAGUAGAGGUGGGCGGAAUUCGUGGUGUAGCGGUGAAAUGCUUAGAUAUUACGAAGAACUCCGAUUGCGAAGGCAGCUCACUGGACUGCAACUGACACUGAUGCUCGAAAGUGUGGGUAUCAAACAGGAUUAGAUGCCCGGGUAGUCCACACAGUAAACGAUGAAUACUCGCUGUUUGCGAUAUACAGUAAGCGGCCAAGCGAAAGCGUUAAGUAUUCCACCCUGGGGAGUACGCCGACAGCGGUGAAACUCAAAGGAAUUGACGGGGGCCCGCACAAGCGGAGGAACAUGUGGUUUAAUUCGAUGAUACGCGAGGAACCUUACCCGGGCUUAAAUUACAUUUGAAUAAUCUGGAAACAGUUUAGCCGUAAGGCAAAUGUGAAGGUGCUGCAUGGUUGUCGUCAGCUCGUGCCGUGAGGUGUCGGCUUAAGUGCCAUAACGAGCGCAACCCUUAUCUUCAGUUACUAACAGGUCAUGCUGAGGACUCUGGAGAGACUGCCGUCGUAAGAUGUGAGGAGGGUGGG